GAUGCGGCGACCAUCAAUGGACAGAAAUUCCUAUUCUUGAGCCUUGAGUUCUCUCCUCUCCCAGCUUGCACUCAUGACUGGCCGGAGAGCAACUACCGCAUUCAUGGUUUCAUCAAAGUUUCCACCAUUCUGAUUCUUCUUCUGAAUAUUGUAGCGUUGCUGCACUAUUUCUGGCAUGUCUCUAUACUGCCAUUGG
This is a long non-coding RNA of Triticum dicoccoides, 196 nucleotides long. RefSeq lists it as uncharacterized. Lineage: Eukaryota; Viridiplantae; Streptophyta; Magnoliopsida; Poales; Poaceae. The transcript has 3 exons. The record is from RefSeq and is a predicted model, not a curated record.